UAGUCAUAUGCUUGUCUCAAAGAUUAAGCCAUGCAUGUCUAAGUAUACGCAAAUUAUACUGUGAAACUGCGAAUGGCUCAUUAAAUCAGUUAUAGUUUAUUUGAUGUUUCUUGCUACAUGGAUAACUGUGGUAAUUCUAGAGCUAAUACAUGCGUAAAAAGCCCCGACUUCUGGAAGGGGUGUAUUUAUUAGAUAAAAACCAUCCUCCUCGGAGUUUGGUGAUUCAUAAUAACUUCUCGAAUCGCACGGCCUUGUGCUGGCGAUGCUUCAUUCAAAUAUCUGCCCUAUCAACUGUCGAUGGUAGGAUAGAGGCCUACCAUGGUUGCAACGGGUAACGGGGAAUAAGGGUUCGAUUCCGGAGAGGGAGCCUGAGAAACGGCUACCACAUCCAAGGGAGGCAGCAGGCGCGCAAAUUACCCAAUCCCGACACGGGGAGGUAGUGACAAUAAAUAACAAUGCAGGGCCCUUUUGGGUCUUGUAAUUGGAAUGAGUACAAUUUAAAUCCCUUAACGAGGAACGAUU
This 522-nucleotide ribosomal RNA is filed under the name uncultured eukaryote. RNAcentral's name for it is "SSU rRNA". It matches the Rfam family "Eukaryotic small subunit ribosomal RNA", at positions 21 to 549 of the family's 1831-position model. The record is from RNAcentral.